CGUGGGUAAUCUACCCUCGAAUUGGGGAUAACAUCGCGAAAGCGAUGCUAAUACCGAAUAAUAUCUUAAAAACUUCGGUUUUAAAGAUCAAAGGUGGCCUCUACAUGUAAGCUACUGUUUGGGGAUGAGCCCGCGUACCAUUAGCUUGUUGGUAGGGUAAUGGCCUACCAAGGCUGCGAUGGUUAGCUGGUCUGAGAGGAUGAUCAGCCACACUGGAACUGACACACGGUCCAG
This 234-nucleotide ribosomal RNA is filed under the name uncultured bacterium. Its description in RNAcentral is "partial 16S ribosomal RNA". It matches the Rfam family "Bacterial small subunit ribosomal RNA", at positions 116 to 334 of the family's 1533-position model. The record is from RNAcentral.